This 243-nucleotide ribosomal RNA is filed under the name uncultured bacterium. RNAcentral describes it as "partial 16S ribosomal RNA". It matches the Rfam family "Bacterial small subunit ribosomal RNA", at positions 112 to 354 of the family's 1533-position model. The record is from RNAcentral.
CGGACGUGAGGAACCUGCCUUGGAGUGGGGAAUAACAGUUAGAAAUAGCUGCUAAUACCGCAUAAUGCAGUUGGGUCGCAUGGCUCUGACUGCCAAAGAUUUAUCGCUCUGAGAUGGCCUCGCGUCUGAUUAGAUAGUUGGCGGGGUAACGGCCCACCAAGUCGACGAUCAGUAGCCGGACUGAGAGGUUGGCCGGCCACAUUGGGACUGAGACACGGCCCAGACUCCUACGGAAGGCAGCAG